GAGAUGAAGAGUUGGACAGUUAAUGACUGCGCCACCCAGGAACCCCUCAGAUUGGACGAGGCCCACCCACAACGGGGAAGGCCAUCGGCUUUAUUCAGUCUACCAAUUCAAAUAUGUUAAUCAACUCUGUUGAGAAUUGAUGUGCAUCGUUCCUGAUUUUUCUCAAUAUAGGCUUUCCACACAGGAGCUGCCAGAGACUCUGGCAGGCGCAGAAGGCCACCUAACUGCAGUCCAGGCCAACACUUGUUAUAGGAACAACAAUGGGACCGGUGCCUCUCUGCUCACACUGUGAUGCCUCCUUCUUGUAUCCUCUUUGGAGUGGUUCAUUAAUUCCCUUCUAACUUUAUUGUGUUGAGUAACUUGUGUGAUAAAAUUGUGCAAUCAACUGAAUGAUUCAUGAAUUUAAUGUUGGUGCUAUGCAGCUAUUUGAAACAGGUCUCAAUCCUGUGAUUCUUACCUGGCCUUGCCUUUCACCCUGCUCAGGCUAAUGUACUCUGAUCUCCGGAGGGGCUCUGCCAAGGUUUACUGCCUCUCCCCUCCAUUGUGACAAUUGCCUUGGCCUCCUUGCACAGCACCUGGAGGCUAAGGGGUGUGGCUCGUGCUUUUGGGGGAGCACAGCCUCACUGUGAGGCUUUGAAAUAGAUCUGCCCUGGGGCCCUUGAACUCUGGACCUGUGGAGCCCUACAAGCUAUUUGGCAUAUGAAGGUCCUGACCUGAGAAAACCAUCUUGGAUAACCACGCAAGGAGAGGGAAAAAUGCAACACCUAGGAGAUUUCAGUAAACAGUAGAAUCAUGCCAACCUAAUCUGUGUUAAAAUGCUUGGAAUGUGGGAGCCGCCGAGGAUGCCUGUUGUCUGUGUGUCUGACUGAAUCCUUUCUUUUCUCAGAGCAGCAAAGCCAAGCCUGGGAACCAGGCCAAAUGCCUGCCACUUACCUUAAAUUGAUCAGCCACUUUGAGAUUAAAACCCCUGAAAGCUGCCACACCGUGAAAACAAGGCCUCCUUCACAUUAAAGGCAAAUUGCGACUUUG
Molecule: long non-coding RNA, 1029 nt
Organism: Felis catus (domestic cat)
Lineage: Eukaryota; Metazoa; Chordata; Mammalia; Carnivora; Felidae
Exons: 5
Source: RefSeq, a predicted model, not a curated record